CGGAGGCAGCAGUGAGGAAUCUUGCUCAAUGGGCGAAAGCCUGAAGCAGCGACGCCGCGUGCGGGAUGAAGGCCCUCGGGUUGUAAACCGCUUUCAGCAGGGACGAAAUUGGCGGUACCUGCAGAAGAAGGCCCGGCCAACUACGUGCCAGCAGCCGCGGUAAUACGUAGGGGCCUAGCGUUGUCCGGAUUUAUUGGGCGUAAAGAGCUCGUAGGCGGUUUGGUAAGUCGGGUGUGAAAUCUCCACGCUCAACGUGGAGGGGCCACCCGAUACUGCCAUGACUGGAGUCCGGUAGGGGAGUGUGGAAUUCCCGGUGUAGCGGUGAAAUGCGCAGAUAUCGGGAGGAACACCAGUAGCGAAGGCGACACUCUGGGCCGGUACUGACGCUGAGGAGCGAAAGCGUGGGGAGCAAACAGGAUUAGAUACCCUCGUAC
RNAcentral lists this ribosomal RNA (434 nucleotides) under uncultured bacterium. Its description in RNAcentral is "bacterial SSU rRNA". It matches the Rfam family "Bacterial small subunit ribosomal RNA", at positions 343 to 793 of the family's 1533-position model. The record is from RNAcentral.